UACGAAGGGGGCUAGCGUUGCUCGGAAUCACUGGGCGUAAAGGGUGCGUAGGCGGGUCUUUAAGUCAGGGGUGAAAUCCUGGAGCUCAACUCCAGAACUGCCUUUGAUACUGAAGAUCUUGAGUGCGGGAGAGGUGAGUGGAACUGCGAGUGUAGAGGCGAAAUUCGUAGAUAUUCGCAAGAACACCAGUGGCGAAGGCGGCUCACUGGCCCGGUACUGACGCUGAGGUGCGAAAGCGUGGGGAGCAAACAGG
RNAcentral lists this ribosomal RNA (253 nucleotides) under uncultured bacterium. RNAcentral describes it as "partial 16S ribosomal RNA". It matches the Rfam family "Bacterial small subunit ribosomal RNA", at positions 524 to 776 of the family's 1533-position model. The record is from RNAcentral.